GGAAGUGUUGCUUAGUGGUUUGAGGGCUGGACUAGGGCUCUGGAGAACAGGGUUCGAAUGCCUUCUCGGCCA
This is a non-coding RNA of Phrynosoma platyrhinos (Desert horned lizard), 72 nucleotides long. The record is from the annotation of a GenBank genome assembly. NCBI's taxonomy places the organism in Eukaryota, Metazoa, Chordata, Lepidosauria, Squamata, Phrynosomatidae.